CAAGCGGUGGAGCAUGUGGUUUAAUUCGAUGCAACGCGAAGAACCUUACCUACUCUUGACAUCCACGGAACUUGGCAGAGAUGCCUUGGUGCCUUCGGGAACCGUGAGACAGGUGCUGCAUGGCUGUCGUCAGCUCGUGUUGUGAAAUGUUGGGUUAAGUCCCGCAACGAGCGCAACCCUUAUCCUUUGUUGCCAGCGAUUCGGUCGGGAACUCAAAGGAGACUGCCGGUGAUAAACCGGAGGAAGGUGGGGAUGACGUCAAGUCAUCAUGGCCCUUACGAGUAGGGCUACACACGUGCUACAAUGGCGCAUACAAAGAGAAGCGACCUCGCGAGGGCAAGCGGACCUCAUAAAGUACGUCGUAGUCCGGAUUGGAGUCUGCAACUCGACUCCGUGAAGUCGGAAUCGCUAGUAAUCGUGGAUCAGAAUGCCACGGUGAAUACGUUCCCGGGCCUUGUACACACC
RNAcentral lists this ribosomal RNA (465 nucleotides) under uncultured bacterium. Its description in RNAcentral is "bacterial SSU rRNA". It matches the Rfam family "Bacterial small subunit ribosomal RNA", at positions 926 to 1391 of the family's 1533-position model. The record is from RNAcentral.